GAUGAACGCUGGCGGCGUGCCUAAUACAUGCAAGUCGAGCGAACAGACGAGGAGCUUGCUCCUCUGACGUUAGCGGCGGACGGGUGAGUAACACGUGGAUAACCUACCUAUAAGACUGGGAUAACUUCGGGAAACCGGAGCUAAUACCGGAUAAUAUAUUGAACCGCAUGGUUCAAUAGUGAAAGACGGUUUUGCUGUCACUUAUAGAUGGAUCCGCGCCGCAUUAGCUAGUUGGUAAGGUAACGGCUUACCAAGGCAACGAUGCGUAGCCGACCGGAGAGGGUGAUCGGCCGCACUGGAACUGAGACACGGUCCAGACUCCUACGGGAGGCAGCAGUAGGGAAUCUUCCGCAAUGGGCGAAAGCCUGACGGAGCAACGCCGCGUGAGUGAUGAAGGUCUUCGGAUCGUAAAACUCUGUUAUUAGGGAAGAACAAAUGUGUAAGUAACUAUGCACGUCUUGACGGUACCUAAUCAGAAAGCCACGGCUAACUACGUG
This 497-nucleotide ribosomal RNA is filed under the name uncultured bacterium. Its description in RNAcentral is "partial 16S ribosomal RNA". It matches the Rfam family "Bacterial small subunit ribosomal RNA", at positions 28 to 507 of the family's 1533-position model. The record is from RNAcentral.